CAGGCUGGAUGUGGCUCUGGGCAGCCUGGUCUGCUGGUUGGCGACCCUGCACAUAGCAGGGGGGUUGAAACUCGGUGAUCAUUGUGGUCCUUUUCAGCCCAGGCCAUUCUGUAAUUCUGUGAUGUGUACAACUAUGAGAAUAGUGCCAUCUUUCCUUGCCGUGAUGCAGCGCAAACAGUUCAGCAUUUCUAACAAAAUGAGCUGGUGAGGUGGGGAGGCCGGAGAUAAACCCCCCAGAGCAGUGAAUGAACAGCUGGCACUGGAGGGCCCCAGCAGAGCUCAUCUCAGAGCAGCCACAGGAGAAUGAAGAGCUACAUGUUUCAUUGCUGUUGUUAUGACCAGUUUCAGUAGAUGUGAUAAUGGCCACCUAUGAGGAGAAAGCUACAGUUGUGUAUGGAUCAACGUCCAGGAAGGUAUGGGAGCUGCAGUUCGUUUAGUAGCCCUUCCAAUAGAGAAGAACCUGCAAAGUGCUUUCCAGGCGUGGAGUUACUCCUGUGGUGACAGGGGAGUGGUCAGAGAAAGCAGGCAACGCUGACUCGUGCAGGUAAAGCAAGCAAGUUGUGUGGCACUGAGUUGGAUGCCCGGGAGAGAUGCAGUGGCAGAGCGCCCAUCGUUGGAAGCACAGUUUGGCAGUUUCCUGUGUUGCCCAAGGAACUGGGACUGCCCGGGCAGAGAGCUCAAGGUUGUCUUACAGCUGAAGGAGGGAAAAUAGAGCAGCAACAACUGAGGCAAGCUUUCAUCAGAGUUUUGAACACCGCACUACAAAUUGUAUGCCAAAGAAAUGCUUCCAUCUCACACUGUCCUCCAGACCAGAGGGAUUAUAUGGGCUUUCAGAAUCUUAUUAUACGUGGAGAAAUGCACAUAUCUUGCCUGAAGGACAUCUCAGAGAAAACUCGAGAACAGCUGCCUGGCAGAGGGCAGCGGUGGAUUCUUUGUGGACUGCUGAAGAAGGUUGGCACGAAUUACAAGGCUGAAGCACAAUCCAGAGCAGGAGGACAGAAGGGACGUCCCCAUGUUUGGAAUCAGCCUGCUCCACAGCUGGUGGCUGCAGCAGCACCAGAGAUGGGUGCUGCCAGGUGGGCGGUGGGACUGCUGCCCUACAGCCACGUCUGUCUGCCACCACCCCGCUCCUUUCCCAUUAGUGUUUCCCUCCAGAAUGACUGUGACUUCCAGGGGCACCUCUGGGAAUGUUUCUUUGGCACACGCACCAAAGGCACCUCUGAUUGUUUUGUUUGUUUCAAGAUGAGUUGUGUACCUGCUGUUUGCAGCCCCUGCCCCGAGGCCACGCUCACAGGCUGUCAGCUCCUGGAGCCGAGGAUCCGUCCCUUCACUGCCAUAGAAAGCAAAACCCCAACCUCGGUGAACUUUGGCAUAUUUUCCUAAUUGAUGCGAAUGAGAUGAGAGGGAAAACUGACUCCUGUGACCUCCACAGCAUAACUGUGUACUGUGUGUUGCAUGAAUAAAGGGGUGUGCCAUAGCUGCACAAAUGUGAACUGGCACCAUUCUACCCUUAACAGCUUUGCUCUGUGUCAUCCAGCUGUUUGACAGGAAUGGACCAAAUGCUGUCAGUAUUCUCAUUAGUAAAUUUGCAGUCGCUCAGUGAUGGAGUGCUGUGCCUUUGGAGGGGCUUUGGACAGUGAGUCCUGCUUGCUGCACAGGAUCAUAAGGAAGAGCAGCUCCUCUCUGAAGGUCUGUAAGUACAGAAAGCUGCAUUUAGGAGAGCAGUUUGUGUUUAACAUGUUUGUAUUCUGAUCUUCCUGUGUCUCCACACGCCCAAGGCCUGACCCUGCAGCUGGGUACGUGCUUGGCAGAUGGGUGACUGGGCCAUCAGCCUCCCCCUGCUCUGCCACAACACGGCCACUGUGUCUCGUGGAGGGGUGGGUAAAUGGAGCUGCUGCCCCUCCCCCGUGAGGGCCAUGGGUCCUAACUGGAGCCCCAGAGCCUGGGGGAGAUUGGGCCAUGGCACUGUGGGCCUUAGGGGAACGACAGUGCUUUCACAUCCAUCUUCCAGUCACUAAAUCCCACUCCUUAUGGAUGGGCCAAGUUGGGUGCAUCGUGUCACAGCCAAACGGGAGCCAUGUACUGCAGGUGGGCGUGUGGGCUUUGGUGCUGUCAGCCAGUACCUGUGCAGGGUUCUGUACACCAGGCAGGAUGCAGGCAGAAGGUGGCUGAGAUUUUCUUACAAUGAGACACUUUUUAUGGGACAACAGAAAAGUACACAGAAAGGAAGUGAAGAGCUCCGGUCCUGGGCUUCUGAUGCAGAAUCAAGGAGAAAUAGUGAAAAUAUUGGAAUGGAGAAUGGCAACAAGUGAAAUCACAUUCUAGUCUUGCAUGGAAGUGUGAAACUGCUGCAAAACACCUGGCUCUCACAGCUCCGUUGACUCCAAUGUGAUGCAUGCAGCUGAGUUGGUAUGAACUCAUCAGGCGGACGGGGAGCAGAGCAGAUCUUUAUGAAUUGAAGCACAUCGAGCGAUAACUGAAAUGCCUGAAAAUCAUCACAGCACUGAUAGGUGUGAAUUUAUGCCAGCUCGCAAAGUACUUUUUGUAUCUUAAUUAUUGAGGAGCAGAUGAUUAUGUUAUGUCAUAUCGCUGGGGGGGAUGAGAUUAGAAGCCCGGGGAAUGGGAGUAUCAUUAGAGAAGCAAAGAUGAUGAUAUUUGCUUUGGGAAAAAAGUCCAUAAGAGGUUGGCGUUGUACUGCAGUUACAGCAACAACUGCAGCCAGCAGCUGAGUGCCCGCUUCGACACGGCGCGCUGUGCAAACAACGAUCAUUGUGCACUUCUGGGCUCAGGUGCUAAAUGGAUUACUGGGAAACUCCCAAAAUAAAAACGUGUGAUCCCUACACGAAAUGUAGCUGACGAUUGAGAAGCACCGCUUUAAUGGGUGAUUUUUAUUUUUUAGAUUUUGGCAUUAAAAAUAGAAUAUAGGCCA
Long non-coding RNA from Gallus gallus (chicken), 2929 nucleotides. RefSeq lists it as uncharacterized. The record is from RefSeq and is a predicted model, not a curated record. NCBI's taxonomy places the organism in Eukaryota, Metazoa, Chordata, Aves, Galliformes, Phasianidae. The transcript is spliced from 7 exons.